GGGUGCCCGUACCGCAAACCGACACAGGUAGGCGAGGAGAGAAUCCUAAGGUGAGCGAGAGAACUCUCGUUAAGGAACUCGGCAAAAUGACCCCGUAACUUCGGGAGAAGGGGUGCUCUUGCGGGUGCAAGCCUGCGAGAGCCGCAGUGAAUAGGCCCAGGCGACUGUUUAGCAAAAACACAGGUCUCUGCGAAGCCGCAAGGCGAAGUAUAGGGGCUGACACCUGCCCGGUGCUGGAAGGUUAAGAGGAGGGGUUAGCACGUUAGUGCGAAGCUCUGAAUUGAAGCCCCAGUAAACGGCGGCCGUAACUAUAACGGUCCUAAGGUAGCGAAAUUCCUUGUCGGGUAAGUUCCGACCCGCACGAAAGGUGUAACGAUCUGGGCACUGUCUCAACGAGAGACUCGGUGAAAUUAUAGUACCUGUGAAGAUGCAGGUUACCCGCGACAGGACGGAAAGACCCCGUGGAGCUUUACUGCAGCCUGAUAUUGAAUUUUGGUACAGCUUGUACAGGAUAGGUAGGAGCCUUGGAAGCCGGAGCGCCAGCUUCGGUGGAGGCAUUGGUGGGAUACUACCCUGGCUGUAUUGACAUUCUAACCCGCACCCCUGAUCGGGGUGGGAGACAGUGUCAGGUGGGCAGUUUGACUGGGGCGGUCGCCUCCUAAAAAGUAACGGAGGCGCCCAAAGGUUCCCUCAGAAUGGUUGGAAAUCAUUCGUAGAGUGUAAAGGCACAAGGGAGCUUGACUGCGAGACCUACAAGUCGAGCAGGGACGAAAGUCGGGCUUAGUGAUCCGGUGGUUCCGCAUGGAAGGGCCAUCGCUCAACGGAUAAAAGCUACCCCGGGGAUAACAGGCUUAUCUCCCCCAAGAGUCCACAUCGACGGGGAGGUUUGGCACCUCGAUGUCGGCUCAUCGCAUCCUGGGGCUGUAGUCGGUCCCAAGGGUUGGGCUGUUCGCCCAUUAAAGCGGUACGCGAGCUGGGUUCAGAACGUCGUGAGACAGUUCGGUCCCUAUCCGUCGUGGGCGUAGGAAAUUUGAGAGGAGCUGUCCUUAGUACGAGAGGACCGGGAUGGACGCACCGCUGGUGUACCAGUUGUCUUGCCAAAGGCAUCGCUGGGUAGCUAUGUGCGGAAGGGAUAAGUGCUGAAAGCAUCUAAGCAUGAAGCCCCCCUCAAGAUGAGAUUUCCCAUAGCGCAAGCUAGUAAGAUCCCUGAAAGAUGAUCAGGUUGAUAGGUCAGAGGUGGAAGCGUGGCGACAUGUGGAGCUGACUGAUACUAAUAGAUCGAGGACUUAACUAA
Molecule: ribosomal RNA, 1294 nt
Filed under: Niallia circulans NBRC 13626
Lineage: Bacteria; Bacillati; Bacillota; Bacilli; Caryophanales; Bacillaceae
Description: bacterial LSU rRNA
Rfam family: Bacterial large subunit ribosomal RNA
Source: RNAcentral